This 138-nucleotide small nucleolar RNA is filed under the name Periophthalmus magnuspinnatus. The record is from RNAcentral. Lineage: Eukaryota; Metazoa; Chordata; Actinopteri; Gobiiformes; Gobiidae.
UAUGCACUCUGUUAAAGCCAGACAUCAUUGUUGGUGUUCUGGUGUCGGAAGUGUGCUAGAGUGAGCUGGCUGGGUGUUUACAAGCACCAUGAGGGCUCUUGUCCCAUGAGUGGUGCUGUAUAAGACAUGGCCACAUUU